UGGAAUGAGGUUUCGGCCAAAGGAAAUGGUUGCUUAGUGGCGGACUGGUGAGUAACGCGUGAGGAACCUGCCUUUCAGAGGGGGACAACAGUUGGAAACGACUGCUAAUACCGCAUGACGCAUGACCGGGGCAUCCCGGACAUGCCAAAGAUUUAUCGCUGAAAGAUGGCCUCGCGUCCGAUUAGAUAGUUGGCGGGGUAACGGCCCACCAAGUCGACGAUCGGUAGCCGGACUGAGAGGUUGGCCGGCCACAUUGGGACUGAGAUACGGCCCAGACUCC
This 280-nucleotide ribosomal RNA is filed under the name uncultured Oscillospiraceae bacterium. RNAcentral describes it as "partial 16S ribosomal RNA". It matches the Rfam family "Bacterial small subunit ribosomal RNA", at positions 61 to 339 of the family's 1533-position model. Lineage: Bacteria; Bacillati; Bacillota; Clostridia; Eubacteriales; Oscillospiraceae. The record is from RNAcentral.